RNAcentral lists this ribosomal RNA (370 nucleotides) under uncultured Pseudomonadota bacterium. Its description in RNAcentral is "bacterial SSU rRNA". It matches the Rfam family "Bacterial small subunit ribosomal RNA", at positions 527 to 896 of the family's 1533-position model. Lineage: Bacteria; Pseudomonadati; Pseudomonadota. The record is from RNAcentral.
AGAGGGUGCGAGCGUUAAUCGGAAUUACUGGGCGUAAAGCGUGCGUAGACGGUUAUUUAAGUCGGGUGUGAAAGCCCCGGGCUCAACCUGGGAAUUGCAUUCGAGACUGAAUAGCUAGGGUACGGUAGAGGGAAGUGGAAUUUCCGGUGUAGCGGUGAAAUGCGUAGAUAUCGGAAGGAACAUCAGUGGCGAAAGCGACUUCCUGGACCAGUACCGACGUUCAGGCACGAAAGCGUGGGGAGCAAACAGGAUUAGAUACCCUGGUAGUCCACGCCAUAAACGAUGAGGACUAGACGUUGGAGGGUUAAGCCUUUCAGUGUCGUAGCUAACGCGCUAAGUCCUCCGCCUGGGGAGUACGGCCGCAAGGUUG